Molecule: ribosomal RNA, 515 nt
Filed under: uncultured bacterium
Lineage: Bacteria
Description: partial 16S ribosomal RNA
Rfam family: Bacterial small subunit ribosomal RNA
Source: RNAcentral
GAUGAACGCUGGCGGCGUGCCUAAUACAUGCAAGUCGAGCGAAUGGAUUAAGAGCUUGCUCUUAUGAAGUUAGCGGCGGACGGGUGAGUAACACGUGGGUAACCUGCCCACAAGACUGGGAUAACUCCGGGAAACCGGGGCUAAUACCGGAUAACAUUUUGAACCGCAUGGUUCGAAAUUGAAAGGCGGCUUCGGCCGUCACUUAUGGAUGGACCCGCGUCGCAUUAGCUAGUUGGUGAGGUAACGGCUCACCAAGGCAACGAUGCGUAGCCGACCUGAGAGGGUGAUCGGCCACACUGGGACUGAGACACGGCCCAGACUCCUACGGGGGGCAGCAGUAGGGAAUCUUCCGCAAUGGACGAAAGUCUGACGGAGCAACGCCGCGUGAGUGAUGAAGGCUUUCGGGUCGUAAAACUCUGUUGUUAGGGAAGAACAAGUGCUAGUUGAAUAAGCUGGCACCUUGACGGUACCUAACCAGAAAGCCACGGCUAACUACGUGCCAGCCGCCGCCGUAA